CUGGUGCAGAGAGGGAGACACCCCCACAGAUGGAGACUUCCUUUACAAAUGCAAAUGUCUCUCAUCAAAGGGCAAGCAAAUUCUACUCCUCAGAGCCUCCUUCUCAUCUGCAGUUUUUAACAGUAACCAGCCUAAAAUAAUCCUCAUCAAUACUUACCUAGAUAUUAAAAUGGCAUCCUUUGGAUCUGGUUCUCUCUUAUGGUUUGGUUUAGCUUUGUAGUCACAAUGCUUUGAUAAAUCAAUGUUAGUACUAAAUUAUUAUGAUUGACACUGACUGUCUUAAAAUGAAAAUGAGGUGAUUCUCUGCAGACUCCUGUGAUAGCCGCACUUUGACCUCCAGGCUCCUCGGGGCCUGAUGACCUCUGGUUGCUCCUUUUCUGAACAUUUAUAGUGCAAAAGAAUGACCGUGGGCAAGUAGCUUCAUCUUAUUGAGCUUCAGUUUCCUUGUCUGUGUAAGGGGGAUUGUAGUGUUUCUCUUGAUAGGGCUGUCAGGAGCAGCCUAUGGGUUGGACAAAAUAGCACAGCAGUUGUAAGUGCUACAAAAAGUUAGAUCCUUGUUCCUUUUUCUUCAGUCCAUUUUAAAAAUAGCAGCUGAUUACGUAUAUAUAUGUAUCUAUAAUUACAGGGUAAGAGCCAACAGGCCAGACAUCCCUUUCUUCAAAAAACUAACCACAUCUAUGGUCUACGAUUGCAGUCUGGCUGAGUGAGAGCGUCACCCCGUGGGCAGCACAGACUUAACCAUGUGUUCAGCCUCGUGGCCGCGCCUGCAGCAUCCUUCUGAGGAACAAGCUGGCAACCCUAGGGUUGCAGGAAGAGCACAGGUUUUAGAAUCAGACACACCUGAGCUUGAAUUUCAGCUCUACCAUUGACUGGCUGUGGAGAGCCACGCAAGCCGUUUCACCCCCCUGGGCCUCUGUUUCCUCCUCUGCAGAAUGGGUAUGAUAGAUAAUCCCUGCUUCCCAGGGAUGGCAUGAGAUUAACUAAGAUGAUGGGUACAACAGCACUUUGCAAACUGGAAAGCCCUAUACGUACACGUGUUUAUUGUAAGGACCAUUGCAGUAUGACAGUGGCAUUAUUAAAUGACAUUUUCCUCCUCGUGUCAUCUGCCUGGCGAAUUUCUGGGUCAGUGUCCUCCACUACAUGGUGAAUCCUGGACUGUCUCUGUUCUGUCUGCCCGACAUACCACAGGGCCAGCCUCAAUGGACACAGCUGAGUGACGGAUGAGUGACUCACUAAGGACACAGUAGAGCAAGCUGCGCCCUCGCCCCCCAUCUCCAGCUGUCUUCCCCUCCGAGUCUCUUCCUGGACUCCACCCGCCCUCCACUGCCCCUCCCUGGCCUUCUCCCUCCUCAUUUCACACAUGCAGCCAGAUGCGGAGCUCCUGUUCUCCGCCUGAAGGAUUAAAUGCAGUGAUGAGAAAUGUGUUUUUUUAUUGUUUUAGGAAGCUGAGCAGGGCAGGGGCGAGGGAGGGAGAAAUUGAAUCAGGGGCAACGAUUUAUCUUGUGCUAAAGUGCCUACGAGGGUUCCGGGAAGGCCUUCUCUUCCUGCACCCCUCCCCCAGUGCUGACCCCCCUUUACUGGGGAGGACAGCUGGCAGCCCACAUGCGCCCGCCCUUGUGUGUGCGUGAGCGGGUGGGGCCUGAUGGCCUUGAAUGGAACUCUAGUUUUGCUCAGGGACCUCCCAUCAUUGCAGACACUUACCUUCCCUGCCUUCACAGCCUUUGCCUGGGUUUCCUAGGCAUUGAGGGGCCGCAGAGAUGCAGUAGGAAGGAGACAGGGUGACUUGGUUCUGCCAUUGCUGGGUGUGCCACCUUGAGCCUCUUUCUCUCAGCCUGUGUCUUGAGCCUGCAUCUUGAGCCUGUAUCCCUCUGUGAAAACGGAUAAGGACAGAAAUACAUGUCUCACGUGGGCUGGCUGGCCGGGUCCCAUGACCUCCUAGGCACCAAACCCCAAUUUUGUCCUUGCGCUCAGAGAGGUUCUGCCUUUGGGGCUGAUUCACACUGACAGUUACCUAGAAGAAGCAGAUGCAUAGAAGCCAGCAUGCUGCCUGUGGUUUAUACAGAGAAAUAGAACUGCCAGAUGGAUGGAAUGCCCACCUUGGCAAGGCUGAUGCAACACAGACCCAGGCCCAAAGGUGGGCCCUGCCUCUUCCUUGCUGUGUUAAUCCCUCAAGGUGGAGCAUUGGUUUAUACACCGAUGGGAAGAAGAAUAUCCCUGUAAAAUGGGAGGAAGAAUAAUACCUACCUGAUAGAGUUGUGUAGGGAAUGUGAAUUGUUGUAUGUUAAAUGCUAGCUCUGUCUGACAUUUAGAAAACAUCACAAAACGUUAGCUGUUGCUGUUAGUAGUAGUUGGCCUUAAUUAAGCAGGCCUUUCACCCAUCAGUUGGGUAGAUAUUCUGAGAAAGGAGGAGUGGUUCAAUCCGCUUAGCCAAAAUGCUCUCUCCCAGGGCGAGAGCUGGGAUGGGCACGGUCCAUGUUUGCUUCUGGGAGAGCCGUUUUUCCUGUUUCCGUUGCUGACCGAGCUUCUGUACCUGCCAGACCUAAUGCAACGACUGGGUUUCUGCUUCCUCAGCUGCAGUUGCAAUCUCGUCUUGCCUCUCUGAGAGUCCUCCUUAAAGGAAGAGAGGGGCGAUUUGGCUGUUCCCAAACUCCUCGCUCACAGGGUCAGCACCAGUCCCGAGGCUCCCACUGGUGACGGGAUUAAUUAUAAUAACGACAUGAGCGGUAACACUUGCUGAGCACUUCUACCCACCAGGCGACUGUUCCAGGGGCGUUACAUACAGACGUGACCCAACAACCUCUGAGGCAGGUCCCGUUACCGUCCCCAUUUUACAGGUGAGGAAACUGAGGUCCAGAGAGGUUAAGUAACUUUGCCCAAGGUCCCAGACUUGGUCAAUCAUCCAUCCCCACUGGUGUGGGAUUUGUUACACCACAAUGAUAUCUUUGUACGUAAGUCAUUUUGCACCUGUGGAAAGUUAUCUGCAGGGUGAGUUCCUAGAAGUGAAGUCCUGGGUCCAGUUUUGCCAAAUUGCCCUCCAUAUACAUUUUGUCAUUGCACGUUCCCACCAGCAAAGUGUGACUGCCUGCUCCUCGAAAAGAGUAUUACCAACUUUAAAAUUAAAUUUCUUUCCAGCUUUAUUGAAGUAUAAUUGACUUUUUUUUUCAAUGAUAGAUGAAAACCCAUAGACAUCCUGCUCCAGGUUUUGUAUGUUUCCUUGUUAACGAGGUUGAGGGUCUUAUCGUAUGUCUGAGAGCUAUUUUUGUUUCUUUCCUGUGGUCUGAUUCUUUACCCAUUUUUAAAAUUGUCUUUGGUAUUACCUGAUUCAUUUCCAGUUCUUCUUUAAGAAGUUAG
This 3351-nucleotide long non-coding RNA is filed under the name Equus caballus (horse). RNAcentral describes it as "lncRNA (ENSECAG00000057391.1)". Lineage: Eukaryota; Metazoa; Chordata; Mammalia; Perissodactyla; Equidae. The record is from RNAcentral.